Molecule: ribosomal RNA, 263 nt
Filed under: Pseudopedinella elastica
Lineage: Eukaryota; Dictyochophyceae; Pedinellales
Description: partial Bacterial small subunit ribosomal RNA
Rfam family: Bacterial small subunit ribosomal RNA
Source: RNAcentral
UCUAUGUUGCCAGCACGUUAUGGUGGGGACUCAGUGGAGACCGCCGGGGUCAACUCGGAGGAAGGUGGGGAUGACGUCAAGUCCUCAUGGCCCUUACGGGUUGGGCUACACACGUGCUACAAUGGCAUCAACAAUGGGUUAAUCCCCAAAAGAUGUCUCAGUUCGGAUUGGGGUCUGCAACUCGACCCCAUGAAGUCGGAAUCGCUAGUAAUCGCGUAACAGCAUGACGCGGUGAAUACGUUCCCGGGCCUUGUACACACCGC